GAUGAACGCUGGCGGCGUGCCUAAUACAUGCAAGUCGAGCGAACAGACGAGGAGCUUGCUCCUCUGACGUUAGCGGCGGACGGGUGAGUAACACGUGGAUAACCUACCUAUAAGACUGGGAUAACUUCGGGAAACCGGAGCUAAUACCGGAUAAUAUAUUGAACCGCAUGGUUCAAUAGUGAAAGACGGUUUUGCUGUCACUUAUAGAUGGAUCCGCGCCGCAUUAGCUAGUUGGUAAGGUAACGGCUUACCAAGGCGACGAUGCGUAGCCGACCUGAGAGGGUGAUCGGCCACACUGGAACGUGGACACGGUCAAGACUCCUACGGGAGGCAGCAGUAGGGAAUCUGCCGCAAUGGGCGAAAGCCUGACGGAGCAACGCCGCGUGAGUGAUGAAGGUCUUCGGAUCGUAAAACUCUGUUAUUAGGGAAGAACAAAUGUGUAAGUAACUAUGCACGUCUUGACGGUACCUAAUCAGAAAGCCACGGCUAACUACGUG
Molecule: ribosomal RNA, 497 nt
Filed under: uncultured bacterium
Lineage: Bacteria
Description: partial 16S ribosomal RNA
Rfam family: Bacterial small subunit ribosomal RNA
Source: RNAcentral